Molecule: long non-coding RNA, 396 nt
Filed under: Callithrix jacchus (white-tufted-ear marmoset)
Lineage: Eukaryota; Metazoa; Chordata; Mammalia; Primates; Cebidae
Description: lncRNA (ENSCJAG00000063335.2)
Source: RNAcentral
AUGAGACACAGACUGACUCCAUAUCUUGGCUGUUGUAAAGAAUGCUGCAAUGAACAUGUUGAUGAAGAUCCUGACAUUGAUGGCAGGGACAUGGAUGAAUCUGGAAAACAUCAUUCUCAGCAAACUGACAUAAGAACAGAAAAUGAAAUACCACAUAUUUUCACUCAUAGGCAGGUGAUGAAGAAUGAGAACAUAUGGACACAGGGAGAGGAGCACUACACAAUGGGGUCUAUUGGAGGGAAUAGGAGAGGGACAGUGGGGGAGGGGAUCUGGGGAGGGAUAGCAUGGGGAGAAAUGCCAGAUGUGGGUGAAGGGGAGGAAGGCAGCAAAUCACACUGCCACGUGUGUACCUAUGUAACUAUCUUGCAUGUUCUGCACAUGUACCCCAAAACCUAA